This 253-nucleotide ribosomal RNA is filed under the name uncultured bacterium. Its description in RNAcentral is "partial 16S ribosomal RNA". It matches the Rfam family "Bacterial small subunit ribosomal RNA", at positions 524 to 776 of the family's 1533-position model. The record is from RNAcentral.
UACGUAGGGUGCAAGCGUUGUCCGGAAUUAUUGGGCGUAAAGAGCUCGUAGGCGGUUUGUCGCGUCUGCUGUGAAAUCCCGAGGCUCAACCUCGGGCCUGCAGUGGGUACGGGCAGACUAGAGUGCGGUAGGGGAGAUUGGAAUUCCUGGUGUAGCGGUGGAAUGCGCAGAUAUCAGGAGGAACACCGAUGGCGAAGGCAGAUCUCUGGGCAGUAACUGACGCUGAGGAGCGAAAGCGUGGGGAGCGAACAGG